GGGCAUGUCCAUUGAUUAGAGGGCCUUUAGUUCUUCUAUGGGGUGUCUCUUGGGUGUAUUUUGAGGUGUCUAAUUAUGAGUACAAGGGCUCCAAUUGUUGGUGCUUAAAGGAUCUCCUAAAGUAAGUUGGAUAACUUAAGUUAAUAAGAAAUCCAAUGCAGGUAAAACUUGUAUUAUGUGAUUGAAUAGGAUUCAAUCUU
Molecule: long non-coding RNA, 200 nt
Filed under: Elaeis guineensis (African oil palm)
Lineage: Eukaryota; Viridiplantae; Streptophyta; Magnoliopsida; Arecales; Arecaceae
Description: long non-coding RNA (EGUI_LNC069587)
Source: RNAcentral